AAGGAACCCCGGGAGGCGGAGGUCUGGUAGCACCACCUACUCUCUUAAAGGAGUAGGCGCUCAGAGUUCAAAACACGAAUUGUUGCCUCUUUACCAUUCUGCCUGGAGCCAACUGAUUAUGGAUUGAAACCUCUACGAACUGUGAGACAAAGAAACCCCUUACCCUCUUAACUUUGGAUGUCAGGUGUUCUGGUAUAUGCCAGAAUCCUAGGACUCUGAGAGACUGAAGCAAGAAGAUUGCACAUUCAAUUCCAGCCUGGGCAACUUAGCAACCAGUGAGACCCUGUCCCCCAAAAUAAAAAUGAAAUAAAAUAAAAUAAGGCCUGGGAUGUAGCUCAGUGCAAAGGCCCUAGAUUCAAUUCCUAGUCCUGCAGAAAAUGAAAAAAAAAUCUCCAUUUUUCCAAAGAGCUAGGACUGGAAGAAUGGUUAGAGAGAUGCAAGAUUUCUAGAUUUAAAGUUGGCCAUGAAUCAAGAAAUGUGGGCAAUCUCUAGAAGGUAAAAAAGGAAAUGUAAUUGUUAGAGUAGGUAGCUGUUGGUGGUCUUUCUAGAGGGAGACCUGAGACCCCGGAAAGCACUGACUUUUAAAGAAAGAAAAGGAGACAGCCUGGGGGACGAACAGCAGUUUAAUUCUCUGGCACUACUCGGCAGUCACAAAGGGAAGAAGCAAGGCUUUUAUACGUGUAGGAAAGCAGCUUAGUUAUUCUGGCUAUUGUCUUUCUGAUUUUCAUCUCUGAUGAUAACCAGUGACUUUAAGUGACUCAUAAAAGCUACAGGCAAAUUUACAAGUCCCCUGUUUCCAUUCACCAAUCCCAUACAUCAAAGAGCACACCACAGCCCUCUUCUUAUCAGAUGGUACCAAGAGAGCAGGGCGACUUCAGCCAAAAUCUAGCCCACUGGCCCACCACAAACAUCACAGAUGUGCAUAGUGAGUUGUAUCUCUCUCACCACCCGUAGAGUCAUUGGGUCGUGGUUCUCUGAUCCCAGGAAAUGGUAAAUAAGAAAACUAGGAAAACCUGUUUUUCUCCCGUGAGACUUUUACAACGUCUCUUAAAGUUUUUUGGCAUUCUUUUAAAAAAAAAGACUUGUGGAAUUUCCCAGAAAUGACUUAAUUUCUUAGUUAACAAACUUCUUAUGAUCAAUUCUUACAACUAGAUAGCUGAAUUCUACAAUUUCCCACAGGUAGCCAUCUAGAUAUGAGCUGGAGCCAGGAAAAUAGUAGGUGAGCUAAAGGAGGAAGUCUAUACCUAUGCACAGACAGAAACUGAUAGGUGAGUUAAUGGAUAUGUGACACAGUGGUCUUAAGUUUCAAAGCUUCCUGAAAUGGGUCCUCAUACCCCUUUCAGGUUCCUUACACCUAC
This 1358-nucleotide long non-coding RNA is filed under the name Heterocephalus glaber (naked mole-rat). Its description in RNAcentral is "lncRNA (ENSHGLG00000041913.1)". Lineage: Eukaryota; Metazoa; Chordata; Mammalia; Rodentia; Bathyergidae. The record is from RNAcentral.